Molecule: ribosomal RNA, 412 nt
Filed under: uncultured Burkholderia sp.
Lineage: Bacteria; Pseudomonadati; Pseudomonadota; Betaproteobacteria; Burkholderiales; Burkholderiaceae
Description: bacterial SSU rRNA
Rfam family: Bacterial small subunit ribosomal RNA
Source: RNAcentral
UCAGCAGUGCCGCGUGUGUGAGAGGCCUUCCGGGUGUAAGCACUUUUGUCCGGAAAGAAAUGCUUGGCUCUAAUACAGGCGGGGGAUGACGGUACCGGAAGAAUAAGCACCGGCUAACUACGUGCCAUCAGCCGCGGUAAUACGUAGGGUGCGAGCGUGAAUCGGAAUUACUGGGCGUAAAGCGUGCGCAGGCGGUUUGCUAAGACCGAUGUGAAAUCCCCGGGCUCAACCUGGGAACUGCAUUGGUGACUGGCAGGCUAGAGUAUGGCAGAGGGGGGUAGAAUUCCACGUGUAUGACUGCAAUGCGUAGAGAUGUGGAGGAAUACCGAUGGCGAAGGCAGCCCCCUGGGCCAAUACUGACGCUCAUGCACGAAAGCGUGGGGAGCAAACAGGAUUAGAUACCCCGGUAGAA